Panicum virgatum (switchgrass) is the source of this 197-nucleotide long non-coding RNA. RefSeq lists it as uncharacterized. The record is from RefSeq and is a predicted model, not a curated record. NCBI's taxonomy places the organism in Eukaryota, Viridiplantae, Streptophyta, Magnoliopsida, Poales, Poaceae. The transcript has 3 exons.
CACGCUGCGAAGGGAGGGACGACUCCGUGCGCAGGGACCUGCACUCCAUUCGCAGGACAUUCUUUUUAAGGCACAGCCUCUAGAUUUUGAGUGACAGGACCAAUGGAGAAGAAGAGUUUUAGCAGUAAUCUGAAGCUUGGUAAGUUCAGAACUUUGCUGAAGAAUUUAACCAAGGACCAAAAAGAUCUUGUCAAGUU